Molecule: long non-coding RNA, 569 nt
Organism: Cygnus atratus (black swan)
Lineage: Eukaryota; Metazoa; Chordata; Aves; Anseriformes; Anatidae
Exons: 3
Source: RefSeq, a predicted model, not a curated record
CUUUCAAUAGAGAGCUGAUUUUGGAGAACGGCUUAGUCCUGUGAUUGAAAAACUCUUUCUGGAAGGUUGAUGGAGCAUGAGCAUGGUCUGGUCAGCAACUCCAGUGCAAUUUGAAAAUAUGUAAUCUGCUGGCAAUGAUGUACCCAACCUUAAUCAGAGCUGGAGCCUUUGGAAGAGAGAUUGUCAUCGCACGAUGUAUAGUCCCACAGUGACUGGCCUUGGUGAAACUGUGACAGAAGAAAACAGGUGGUUUCAUGUGGCAGGCUGGAGGAAAGAUUCUUUUUCUUCCCAGCUUUUGACAAAAAGAUGACGCAUAUGACUCAGAAUUAGAAGGGGAAAUCUGCCAGUUUGCAUCAGUUCCUCAACUUGUGGGUUGCUAUUCACCACAAGGAAAAUUGGUAUACUCGCACCAGCGCUUCUUGAGAGAUGAAGAGUAAUCAUUUCCUUCAGAAAGUGUAGGAUGAUUGGAGUAGGCCUUUCAUAUGUGACACUAGGCUUUUCCUAUAAGGUAUUUUUCAACUGUAUUAAUUUUCUAGGAAGAAAGGAAAACAAAUGAUGUUCUUAAAUGC